Molecule: ribosomal RNA, 402 nt
Filed under: uncultured soil bacterium
Lineage: Bacteria
Description: bacterial SSU rRNA
Rfam family: Bacterial small subunit ribosomal RNA
Source: RNAcentral
AGAAACGAACGCUGGCGGCAUGCCUAAUACAUGCAAGUCGAACGAACACUUCGGUGUUAGUGGCGCACGGGUGCGUAACGCGUGGGAAUCUGCCCUUGGGUUCGGAAUAACAGUUGGAAACGACUGCUAAUACCGGAUGAUAUCGAAAGAUCAAAGAUUUAUCGCCCAGGGAUGAGCCCGCGUAGGAUUAGCUAGUUGGUGAGGUAAAGGCUCACCAAGGCGACGAUCCGUUAGCUGGUCUGAGAGGAUGAUCAGCCACACUGGGACUGAGACACGGCCCAGACUCCUACGGGAGCAGCAGUAGGGAAUAGUUGGACAAUGGGCGCAAGCCUGAUCCAGCAAUGCCGCGUGAGUGAUGAAGGUCCUUAGGGUUAGUAAAGCUUCGUUUACCCGAGAUGAUAA